This 28787-nucleotide long non-coding RNA is filed under the name Phoenix dactylifera (date palm). Its description in RNAcentral is "long non-coding RNA (PDAC_LNC005493)". Lineage: Eukaryota; Viridiplantae; Streptophyta; Magnoliopsida; Arecales; Arecaceae. The record is from RNAcentral.
GUUUGACUGGUCUUACAUGAAGCUGGAAGAAGUUGAUUCUAGAAAAGUUUCCGUUAAUAGCCAAACAAUCCUUAGUUAUGUGCAACUUGAUCUUUUUGGGCUUUUUUUUUAUCAUUAAACAGAGAAUAGUUCAAUAUAAUUUGAAUAAAAAUAUCAUGAACAGCUAACUCCAGAAUAACUAGAGAAAGCUUUCAAGAACCAUAUGACUUAAAUCCAGUGAAGUAUAUUAAUGAGUUCUCAAUAAAAUCAUUCCGUGGUAUGUUCCCUUUAAUAGCAUGAAGAACUCUUGGUUUAUAUGAUCUCUUCUUGGUAAUAUAAUUUGAAAAACAAUACUGUGAACCAAAACUCAAGAAUAACAGGGGCACAUUUUUAAUAUAAGGAGGAUGUUGUGACUGCAAUGAUGAACUAUAUAUAUUGACAACUUCACAAUGAAAUUAUUCUGUAGUUUAAUCAAAACACGAGGGACAUACUAUCAUACAAUAAAGAAAUCAUUACAAGCAUGAAAAUGAAAGAUAACUAGCCCUUUGUUGUGGCAAUUUGAAAAAGGAAGAAUGAGAGAGAUGCAAUGCCAAAGCCUCAAGCACUCCAGAUAAGAGAGAAUUCAGGUGGUCACCAACCAAUUAAUCUUUAUCCUAGACACUUCAACUGCAUCUAUAUAUCUCCACUUUUUAUCCCUUCAACAUAUCAUUUGAUAGAAUAGACUUAUACCUGCUCCCACUUACUGAUGAAUUCAGGCCCUUUUUUGCACUAACAGCCAGUGAUAUCGCAAUCAUGGUUCAUCAAGAUUAACUAAGAUGCAAUUAAUGAAAUUAUUUUUGUUGGUUUGGGCAUUUUCUUUAUUAAAAUAUGAAACAUUUCUUAAGAUACAAGUAGCAGACAGAUAAAGUUUGUAUGCAUUAUCAGAUCGGAUUUAGAUUUUAAAUAUGGUUGGUUAGAGGUUGGACCUUCUAAUUCCUUUAGACUACAUUUCCUUCCAUGACUGAACCUAGUCCUACUCCCACCACCUGCUAAAUAACAUUGGUUAUAAUGCACAUUUCCAAGGGAAUUUUUAAUCCAUUGAAGGGAUAUCAAUUAAGCCAAUAAGGGUACGUAACAGAGACAUUAACAAAUAAUGGAGCAAGAAGCAAGGAAAAAAAUAUAACACAAUAUACAAGAAACCAAAAGCAGGCCAUGGGCUUACCAACAAUAUCAGAAAAAAAUACCAUCAUCCAAUAGAGUGUCCCUUAGAGUGCCACCUACUCAAAACUUUCUACCAAAUAAUCAGCAAUCCUAAAUUUAAGGCCGGAAGAUACUAAAUCUCAGAGAAUCAUAAUAAUCCUUGUUACAACUAGCAAAAUUACAACAUUAUGAAUUCAUUAAUCCACUGAAUAACACUGCAAAAGUUAUAAUUUUUUUGAAGUCUUGAAGACACCUGGAUCAUGAAGGAAUCUUGAGUAUUAAGCUUACCCCAUCCCGAUAAAGUUGAAAUGUUCUGCACCUGAACAAGUGGGUCAGAGCCAAGUCCUGAUUGAAAAGCAUGUGAUUUUGGAAAAAGUCUUUGAUGCAUUGAAUUGCUAAUUCAGGAAAUUCAAACAUUUUGAUGGCUCAACAGGGUCAAGUCUCGAGACUUUAAGGUUGUAUAUUCCCUGUCAACCAAUGAAGGUCGAAGCUUAAAAGAUAAUACGAGAAAAACCCAUGUAAUUGGAAGAUGACAUUAUGGGUGGAAGAGUAGGGAUUCUAACAAGCAAGCUUCCACUGAGAUCUCUCCACAACUAGCUGCCGCCACUCUUCGGAGAUUCCCACACGCAACUCCAGUAUACAUCAGCAAAGUCCAUCUAAAGACCCAUUCUAAGUUUACACUCAAACAAAAAAGAAAAAAAAAUAUAAUUCACCCAAACCUGAAUUAUUGAAUUCACCCUCAACAUCAUUACCACAUUAACUGUGUAUCUUUAAUCUUAUCUAUGCUUCAAACAUAUCCCGCACUUGUUGUGAGUUCAUUACCUAAAUGAUACAUCACACGAAUGUUUUUUCCCAUAACCCAUAAAUGAAUGGUCCAAAAAGAAAGAGAAAUGAAAAAAAACCCAGAAACAGACAUCAUGGGAGGAAUUGUUUUAGGAUCCACUUUGUGAAACCAAUACAAGUAACUAGAGAAUACAAAUGCAUCCAAACGCAGAUGCAUCAGAGAAUGAAAAGACAAUCAGAACUGGCUUAUCCAAGCAAAACUUGAACAAUACCAUGUCCUAAGAGAGAUAUUAAGGGGAGAAUAACCAUAGCCAUCAAGGCUUCUCCAAUUAUUUGGAAGAUACAAAAAAUAAAAAAUAAUAAUAAUAAAGAUGAUGGAAGAUACACUAAUAAAUGUCAAAAGUAAUGCAUGGAGAUACUAGUCCUAGAUAUGAUCUUGAUAACCUCGUUGAUUGUGGCAUUGACAAUCAAUCAAUUAGCUCAGUGUAUCUACUACAAAAAGAGAUGCAACCAAAUAUCUAACCAAUCACCAGGGAAGUUCUUUGCACUAGUUCUAUAUACUCCUGUUCUUAGAAGUAUUAUCAAGAAUUUUUUUGCCAUGCAUAUCAUACAUUGACAACCAAAUGUAUAACCUGUGAAAAGAAAAUCUAUUUCCAGAGACUUGUACAUUGGUACUGGAGCUUCUGGCAUGUCUGCAUAAAAUAAUAUAUUCAUGGUGCCAAUGUUCAAUCUCCCCCCAUGUGGCCCUACUGAAGUGCCUCCCUUGCCACAAUUGUAGCGGCUAACAUCAUUUUAAUUCCCUUAUAUUAAAUUUGUCACAGGAAAAAUUAGUAACCCCUCAUCAUAGAGCUUAAGAAACAUAUACAACCCUACUGAAGAUAUCAACCUAAAAAUAGGCUGUCAAUGGACUAGGCCUGCCCUAAUGGCCUGAAGACCAGACCCAGAAAAAAAACAGGUUCGGGCUCAGGUUCUAAGGCUGGUCAAUUUUUAGGCCGGUCCUGGGCUGAAAAUUUUGGUGAAAAUUAAAUAGGGUGGUUCUGAACCCACCAGCCUGAAAACAUAUCCUGAGUAGGAACGAGAUUGGGCCUCAUACCUCCACGGCGAGCCAGGCUCAAGCCUAAGGUUUAGACCUUGGGUUUGCUUCAGACUUAGGCCCAACCCAGCCCUUUGACACCCCUACUCACAAAUCCCUCAGUUUUUGUUACAUGCAACACGUUCUCCACAAACUUAGACAUAAUAGUUUCAAAAUUGGUUUUGCCUUAAAAUAGUUUCAAAUAGGUAGCAAUGGUGCAAGAAAGGAACAAUACUUGUACUCAAUUAUUGCACACUCUUAUAUAAAUAAUUUGCUUGGAAUUGUAGAGUAAUGGUCUUCAACAACAACAAGGUGUUUGUUAUACUCUCAGGUAUAUGGCAAAAAGAUGAUUUCGUCUGAUAAUAUUAUUAGGAAAUUAGAAUAAUGUUAUGGCUAAUACCGGUAGCGGGCAUAAUUGGCCGACUUCACAAAAGCAACUACUGGUUUAGUAACAACAAUUAAGGUUCCGAACUCGAGUGUGCACACAGUUCCUAUCCAAGUUUGUGUUGUUUCCAAUUAAAUCCUUUUGUUGAGUACCAAGUGCAGCUGGAAGGGUCCAUAUAUACCAGUAGAACGAUAUCAUCUGAACAAGCUCAACAUGCAAAGAGAUGAUCUACUCUUGACACAUAAUCGAAGCAUGGAUCACAAAGAUUGAGCCAUUCCUUACACUGGCAUAGCAAACUUUGUUGGAAAUCAUGAAACUCUACCAACAUCAGCAUUGCAACACCCCUGUUCUCUCUUGUGAGCAAGGUGCAAAGAAUGGCAUAAUUUUUUUAUGAAGAUUUUGAAGGCACUAUCACAUUGGGCAGAUCUGCCAAAAAAAGUUCAUCAUUUCUCCAAAAUCCAGAGAACCAAUGAAAAUUUUGAAAAGAUUUGGCUUUAUUAAGAAGGUCAAUUAGUGACGCUAUUUUCAUGCCUCAACAAAGUCACCAGUAUAAAGAUCAAGGAACACCAAGUUUCCAAUUGCAGAAAUUAUGAAAAGAUACUGCAAGAGUAAUGAACAUUAAUGAUUUUGAGAGGUAUCGCAAACGGCCAUGUCUGUGGAGCUAUCAAAGGUCAAAAAGCUAUAUACAGAAAAAUUUGUGUUUCAAUUAUCAUCCUACACCAAUGGUCACCUUUAAAUUCUCAGACUAGUGCUUGUUGGAGUCCAUUCAAAAAAGAACACCAUGUUUCCACAAGUCCAAACACACGUUUGCUGGAAAACCAACACACAAGCAUACAGUAUCAUAUGGUACACUCAUCUUACAUAUGAUGCAUCAGACCUCAUUGGCAUGUUACAGUGGGAUCACAAAAUCAGUUCCUACAAGUAUCAGCUUAUAUUUGUUGUUAUCAUUACAUUUUGCAACAUAUCGCGAUUAUAUGGACAGCCAGAACUAAACAAACGAAACCAUCUCAAAGGCCUUAUAUUGUUGGGGGAACGAGUCCAACAUGACUCCAUUUGUUCCAAAAAGACACCUUCAUAAUCCCUUAACAUAAAAUACAAGUUCAAUAGACUCAAUCUUAAAGUACAUAAUGGUUAUAUUUCAAUUUCGUUGCUUGCAUUGUACUUUUAAUUGGAUUAUGUAACUCAUAUCAACAAUACAUAUAUUUGUUACCAUCCUUAGGUCCUAACAUGAUGGUCCUAUGACUCCUAUCUCUAGGUAAUGGUUUUGCCUCUCUAGUGUUGACUUGUUUUGUUUCAUAGAAUAUCUUAGAAGCUGUCUUUAGUGUUAGAUUGCAGAUUUGAGUCAUCACUGUCAACACUAUAUGAGUUGAAGCCAUGUCCAUCAUCAGUAGCAUGAUUAAUUUUCAUGGCUCGGGGUUUCGGUAGUUAAACAUGAGGUUUAAAAAUCUGAAACACAAAUUUUUUUAUCAAUAUAUUGCAAAUAUAGUAGCAGAUAAACAACAGAUUCACUGCCCUAGAAUAUUCUGGUGUAUCUAAAGAAUGUUCAGAAACUUAUCUUCCCAUUCGCAGUACUGGCGUCAUGCUAGUAUCAUGUUGCAUCAUUGGACUAUGCAGCUUACACAUUUGACCUUUAUAAAGCUUUAUUGUUGUUUAUCUUCUUGAUAUAGGAACAAUGCUUGCUCUCCUUGCUACUUUUGUUUCUACUAUUAUACACUUCUUAGAAAGUUUUUAUGAGAAAUUAUGCAUUUUACCAAGGACAAUUACAAACAAGAAAGCAGAUCCAGACUUCGUAAUUUCAUUUUAUUUUUCAAGAAAUGCUCUUUUUAGUAACUAAUGAGAGUUAUCGGAGCAAAAGGAUGCAUUUUAACCCACCUAAUUAGAUUUUGACGCACAUAUAGAAAUCACCAUGACUAAAUCUUAGUGAAUUUAGGUGCAGAUGUGGCAAGGAACCUCUGCAUGGUCAUGCUACAAUACCCCUAAGACCAAGAAUUGGAAAGGAUAAAAAAAGCAGCUCUGGACACAACAAGGUAAGGACCCAAGGCAUAUUUCAACUGGACAUAAACAUAUAGGUGAUAAGGAACCCCUUCAACUAAAAAUAAUCAAUAAGAAUUAUCGAAUAUUCACACAGCUGAAGUAAUUGAAUCCGCACGCAUCAAAGACAAUAAGUUGACUAACAUUUGAACUAUUGUCAAAUAGGAACAUCCUUCUGCUUGAUGUUGAACAUUCACACAAUUAACCUGAUGAUGGAAUUAAUCUGUACUUUAAAGCACAAACAGAGAAUGCUGGUACAUAAUCUUAUGAUCCAUUAGUCAAAGGAAUAACAGCUAUUUACCUGACAAAAAGACAAAGUUCCAUGAGACAAAACACCAUUAAGAUCAUUAAAGGGAGGUUACAGCACAUAUGCGUUUUUAAACAACAGAACGAGUUGCUUCCAGACUUCCUGUAUAGGAAGGAAAAUUUGAUUUCCACAAAUCUCGGACGAAAAGAUAAGUGAUCAUCUCAAGUAUCUAGUCAUCAACUGCCCAUUGCUCUAAAAAGGAAAUCAGAGUAAAUAUCUGAGGUUUCCUAUUACAAGAUGCUUCUCUAUAAUUUCAAAGGUUAAUUAUAAAUAGAACGCACCACAGUGAAAGGAACCAAGGCAGGUCCAAACUACAAAAACAUCACCAUCCAAAAAGAGGCAUGACAAAGGUGUCAGCCUACAUUUCAAGAUAUAUGAUACCACAUUCAAUUGCAAGACACGUAUCCAUUGCAAGAUAUAUCAUACAACAUUCUGAAGAUAGUCAGCCUACAUUUUUCUGGUUACUUAUGUAAAUCAACCAACCGACCGUAAUCACCAUGAUACUAGAAAGGAAGAGAGAAAAUCUUUCCAUAGAAGUUCACUACAUUGCAUUGAUUAUUAUUCAAGGCAUUUCAAAACUAAAACCUUACUCAUAAUAGAAAUUCACAAUAAAGUUGAGCAUGGAGAAAAACCCAUUUAAAACAAAAAGGGCCUAUAUGAUCAAGACAUAUUUCAAGCAACUCACUACAAAUGUAUGGCAGUCACAUCUGGUCAGAGUAAAUGCUUCUAUUCCCAGCAGCUGAAAUAUUUCAAAUAAGCUCACCGCUUGCUGUCAGACAGUCUGCUUUCGUCCAAGUGCAGACAAAAAGUUGAAAGCCCGCCAAGAAAUUUGCGUGACACUAAAAAUUACCCCAAAAAUUGCACGUCCCUUUGCAAUCCCCUCCCGCAGGUUCCUUGCUGUUCUAGCUACAACUGGUCCCUCAGUCUCAUCCUUCCAUGUGGUUUUUCCCUGCACCGGCACUAAUCAAUUGAAGAUGGGGUAAAACACAUCAUCGAGUCCUAAUCAUUGCUGCUAACAUCACACAAUAACAUCAAAAGUAGUAAACUAACCAAUUGGAGCCAUAGUAGUGAGACGCCGCAAUCUAUCUUCAGCUAUCCGAACUGCUCGGGUAGAGCUUCUGACACCCUGUGUUAUCUCCUGACUACAUAACCAAAUCAAUUGGGCUAUGAGAUAACUAAGCUAGAUGGAUGAAUAACUAUAAAAAUGCUGACAAAAAUACCAGAAAUGUAUCUUAAACAUCCAAAUGAAAGUGGGUAUCUAUUGUUCUAGUAUUAAUAUCCUGCCAAUAUCCAGAUAAUUGAAAGCAUCCAAUGGAACCUUUGGGUGAACAAACAGCCUACUCUAUGCGACAAUCUGAUAUAUAUGCAACGAUAGAUAAAAAUCACUCAUUUAAGUAUCCAUAUAUUCUGUAAUUAACCAAAAGGAAACAGAGAGAGAGAGAAAAAAAAAAAUUAAGGACUGACCCCAGGUCACUGAGCUCCAUGGUUAAAUCACUGAUUUCCAUGCCAGAGAGUCUAACAGCAGCCAUGGUAUCCGGGAGCUCUUCUGCCGUGACGUCCAACAGCUUCUCGAGUGACUCCGCAGCCCUCUUGAAAGCCUACACAUUUCAGCAUCCCAAUUCGCAGAAAGUAAUUCUUGUAAAUCACCAAAUACAAUAAAAAUGAGACCUUCGGUAAAACCAAACCCCAAAUCAUCAAAGAAAACACUGACCAAAAGGGCUGGGAUCGCAGAAAAGAAAAGCCAUAACGCCGAAAGUGCAGCCUGAGAAGAUUUCACAGCUAUAAAUCCAUAAAAUUCGAGAAAGGUGGAGAAAACUGUAACUUUUGAGGUUAUAUAGUUCGAGUCGUAAGAUUUCCCGACGAUUUCUUUUCUUUGAAAAAAAAAGAAAAGAAAAGAAAAGCAACUUUUGAUGAACCAAGAGAUGAUCAUACCACGCAAGCAGCGCAGUUCAGCACAAAGAUGUGCCGGUGGUCGAGAUUCCACCGGGUAAGCGAAAUGGAGGGCGGCGAUGCGACGGAGGCGGUGAGGGAAGCGGAAUCGGGGGAGGCGGAGGCAUCGAGCGCGAGAGAGGAGAAGGGGAGAUGGGGUUCGAUGGGGCUUUUCCCUGCGGCCGCCACGGCGAAUCUUCUUUGAAUGCUAUGCGAGCUGACAUUAUUUAGAGGGAUCGAGAAAUAAGAAGCCGAGGCAGAGGCGGCGCCGGUAGUGGAGGAAGCGGACGCGGCGGAGGGAAGAGAGCGGAGAAAUUUGACGGCGAAGGGAGGAGGAAGGAGAGACAUGGUGGACGGGCGGGCUCCGCCGGAUGUUAUCGCCGGUGAGAACAACGCGGAAAUAGAGAAGAACUAGCCUUUUGGGCUUGAUGCGGAUGCCUGUGGGAAAAUUUAGAUGACGCCCUUGCCGUUACCUGGUUUAUCUAAAAUGCCCCUCUAAGUGAUAGUAAACGAUGUAACCGAGGCAGUGUAAAAUUCUCAAAACUGGCAACACCUGUGCAUAAUGUAGGUUAGAUGGGUAUUACUGCUCUCAAAAAAACAAAAAUGGAGAUUAGAUGAGUAUCCCAUGGCCAAUGAUAAUUGGCAGUUAUUUGUCGCUUCUUCAUUUAAAUUGGAACAUUUGUAUGAAAGAGCUAAAUUAGGGCACCUAUAUGCGACUUUGAUUCUAUGAAUGAUCUUCUUGCAGGGAUUUGUAUUUGGUUUUAGGCAUGUUUCGCAAGCUUUUUCUUUCCAUUUAAGGUUAAUCUGGUAAGAACAUUUACUUUAUAUGCUUAAUAUUUAAUAAUAACUUUUGCAAAAGCCUGCUUUUAUAAAUAAUUGGAAAUAACAAUAAAAUAGAUUUUAAAAAAAGAAAGAAAAUGUUCCGGGCUUACAAAAAGUUGCUAUGGUUUUUUUUAAUGCCUUUUUAUUAUAGUACUCUUAAAUCUAAACCAUUUACUUGGGUAGGCUUAGAAUUGUCAUCUCCUCUAUUAAUCAAUUCAUCCGAUUUUACGAGGGCUUCUUAUCCUUUAUUCCAUGGCCUCAUUGUUCACUCUAACGCCUCCAAGAACUUAACCACAAGAAGAGAAAUCAUAAGCUUCAUCUAGUCUAUCAUCUUGUCGAGAUGGAUGAUGAGUCUCUUUUUGACCUCGUCCAUUCCUAUAUCUCUCCAUUGAAGCUCAAAUCCGCAGCCCACCUCUCUCAACCUCCAUCUGAUAGCCUCCGAUCCCAUGGCCCUCUAGCUUCAACCUAGAGGGCGCUUCGGCCAUGGUCGCUGCGUUUUUUCGGUCAAGCAUCGACAAGUAGAGCAAAUCAAGAGAGGAAUAUUAAUAGCUAGUCAACAUCAUGGAAAAGCAACAGUGCUAUAUUGGCCAUCCAUCGAUAGAUGAAACAAAUCGAGAGGAAAUGACCAAGGGCCGGCUGACAUCGUAGGAGAGCGAUAGCCCCUUUCCGGUUAUCCAUCGAAAAGUGGAGCGGAUCAAUGAGGAAGAUGAAGAGCCGGACGAGUGACUGAUAGAGAUGGAUAAAUCAACCGAUGAACCAAUUAUGAUCUUUGAAUGUUGUCCAAAAAUUACUAAACUUACCAUGUAAAGGGUAUCAAUUAUACCCUUGCAUUUUGCUUAAAUUAAGGUACUUGCUGCCCAUACUUUGGCUUUCCAUCAGUUAUAAAUUGGUUGCCAUAAGAGAAAUCAGGAAAAUUUGUUCUAAUAGUAGGCAAAAAUUUUAAAGUUAUGCUAUAAAGAUUUUAGGAAGCACCAUAGCAAAUCCUUAAAAAGUUUCUUACAUUCAUUAAAGGAAGCGUAACAACUCACCAUUCAACUACUUCAUGUGUAUCUCGUUAAUUGCCAAAUUUGUACGAAUCCCGAUAAGGACAAGAAAAUAUUUCAAAUGCAAAUAAUGAGAAUUGCAGAGCAUUACUCUUUAGCACGAGCCAGAGAGAGGGAGUGAGAUAUUAAUAAAACUUUGUCCUUCAUGGAGUAGGAAAGGGUUGUUUUAGAUUUCAUUCCAAUUUGCUUUGGGUUUUGGAUUCGCUACCUAGUCCGGUUCAAGUUUAGACCUCGGUAGGAGGUCUCGACGUUAGAUAUACAGGUCAUGUUGGCCCAAACACAUACAUAAUAGAUUUAGUCGAAGAUUGAAUAGUAGCCCAUAUUUGCUUGCUCACGUACAAAAUAAAUACAAACAUUAUAUUUAACAACUAAUUUUUAUAUCGUUUGCAAUAAUAUAGUAGAAUUUGGUUGCCUCCAUAAGCCUAAGCUAGAAGCCCACUCUCUUAAUUUUUCCUGUAAGUCACCAUUCCCUAUCUUUUAUUAAACGUCCAGCUCGUAUUGGAUUUUUCUGUUUAUAAUAUAAAUUGGUAAUUGGCAAUUCAACUUUUGGUUGGUGCAUUUUUGCAGGAAGAAAAAGUUUGCAUCAUUUGAUUAGAGAUGUUCUUGCAGUGCUUGCAUUCACCAAGGAACUUAAAUAUUUCAUUCCAAAAUCUAGAUGCAAUUGUCGCCAAAUUUAAAUAGUUUCAGUGAUUUUUGUGAUGUGUUGCUUCAAAUUUUUAUCAAAUAUCAGUCUCCAAAGGUAUAAGUUCCAAAAUCAUGACAACAGUCCCAUUGAGGGUGGAAUUGAGCUUCAUAAAUUAUAAGCUCAUGUAUCAUGAACCGCCGUGAAACAAACAUUUUAUAGGCAACACCACAGACAACAAGAUCAAGAUCGAGGUUAUCUCAAUCAUCGAUCAAACAACAAAAUAGUGACAACAUAUAUCAGCAGCAUGCUCAUUAAGUUUAAACACAACUUUAGCAUGAUCAUAAAAUGCCAUAUACCUAUUAUCAUUAAGUUAACUCACCCAAGCUGGUUAAAAUCCAUAUACCUAACCAAUAAAAUAAGGCUUGUUCCUAUUAUAUAUGUAUGAAAUUUCUGAAUGAACAUGUACGCCAAAUAAUUACUUGAUGUAGAGUAUCAUGAUUCAUAUCAAGCCAGCACUAUUACUAGAUGAAAUGCAUAUGAGGUAUCAUUAAAGCCUUAGCAGUCCCCUUGUUUUGAGAUAGCAGCAGGAUACUUAUUCUCGCUUCUGUGGCCUUUUCAUGACAAUAUAGUAUUAAUGACCGUCUAAAUUCAAUCAUAGAUAACCUUAGGGUAUAGUAGCCUCCAUCAUCCAUAGGAAUUACUUGUUCAAUUAGUCCUCAUAUUUUAUUUUCAAAUAUUGCCAUCUGCCAUUUCUCACUUGUAAGUAUAUUCUAAUAAAUAAACAGGUAGAAAGAUAAAUAGAUUGAUAUAUAUCCUCUUAAACCUUAGGAUUAUUCUAAAAAUUUGAACAAAUUGGAAAACAUUAAAAAAAAAUGAUGAUUCUUAUACACAUAUUAACUACGGAGAGAAGUUCAGAUGGGGAUAUGAUUGCAUAGUUGUUACACAAUCAAGUCAUGCCAAAAUCAUAACUUCAACAUAAUGUGUCCCUUGGGCACAUAUGAAUUUAUCUACCGACUAAUCCUAAGUGAGCUAACCGGCUUUGAAGUAGGUGUGCUUUAUGUAAUCUUGAAACCAAAAUAAUCGAAAAGUAGCUACAGUCAAUCAACAAUAUUCAAGUCCACUUUCAAGGAGCACAGAUUAAUGAAUACAAACCAUCAUUUGCACCCUGUAUUUUGCUUCAAUUAAGAUUUUCUCAUAUUAUCCACAUCUUAUUUGGUGUAAUGCUUAUUGGUUGCAUUUUCUGUUUUACAUUCUUUGAUCUUUAAGCUCGAUCUCUUAAGAGACUAUGACUGGUGCUCAAGAAUCUAUAAGAAUUACUACAUAAAAUAAAGGAGAUAAAAGAUUUCAUCUAAAAAUUGAAAGGAUAGAAAGGAACACACAGGAAUAUACUUGCAGAACACAAGGUGGAGGUGCAGUGUGGUUGAGGACAUUAUUAGAACAUUGUAAUCAUCAAUAUUUUCUUCUGAAGUUCCUGAGAUCCAUAACUCCUAUAGACUCCAGUGUUUGCUAUUAAUUAUUACAGCUUAAAUGCACAUGAUGAACCAUGAUAUUUUGUGAAUGAGUCCUAGCUACUACAUGAUCAAUGGAUAGACAUAUGAACUACCUUGUACUUAAUGUUUAUCUUAAUUUCUCUUUAGGUACGUAUCUACUAAUAUGAUACAGAGCAGUUAGUGCCAAACAAAUAUAUAAUGCCAGAUAAUUGCCUGAAAACACAACCAUCAAUACUUUCUCCAUUACAUAAGUCACAUCUAUUGUUGUUGUUGAGGAUGGCAGUAUUUCCUCUUAGAAACACUAAAAACACAAAACCAGACAAAACGAGAAGAAGCUCUCUUUUUUUUUUAUUUUUUUCUUUUUUGUGGAAUGAUGAGAAGAGGUUAUCACAAUAGUAAAAACACUUUAAGUAAGGGCAUGAAAUGACAUGUUAAAGAGGACAUAACCUAAAACCUAUCCAUGUCUAAAACCAUUGAACUACCUAAAAGCUGGUGUUUCCCUUUUGUCCAAACCACCCCCAACCCCACACCGGCCGGACACUGGGAUAUCAAGUUAGAAUACAGAACAUAGAGUAGCGACAAAUCCCAUGCCUUCAUGGUGGUGAGCAAAUUAUUGCAUGUUUCUAAGCCUCCUAUGGAUACAUAUGAUUGCUUCCCAUUCUGGUGAUUCAAGUCCAGGUUUCUAUUCGAGCAGUUAACACUUCAAUUUUUUUCUUUCUUCUGGUGUAAAAAAUUCCAAUAUUAAGUUACUUGGCAUUUUAGUUUCUAUUUUUCUCUUGGAAGAAACUCCGAAGUUCUUCUGGUUUUUGACUAGUCACUUAGUGUUGAACCUUCAUGCUGAUAAUUGGCAAUGCCUAUGACUACAGAAUGAUGCAGUUGCAGUAAAUUGGAGAGUACCAGAUCAUACUAGGAAGAACUUUUUUUUUUUUUGAUUGGGAACAUGAGAUCAAAUUUGUAGUGAUCUUUUUUUCUUUUUAAGAAAAAUGUGAUGAUCAUUGGAUGUGAUUUGAGGAAUAGAUGCUUAUGAGAUCAGAAGGCCUAAUUAAGUACCAUGAUUGAGAAGUUAAAGUACACAAAUAAUAACUAACACUCAAUUCAUUAUGUCUUUCAUACCAAGUUGAAAGUGUGCUUAUUUUCAGAACUAGGAUAUAUUACAAACUAGAUGUAUUUUGAUAUUUAAAGAUCCACACACUACGCUAACUCAUGAGUGGUCAAUGAUGAUACUACCAGGACAUCACAACAUUGACCUUGCCCCAAAAAUCUAACCAUUUAUAUGCUGGACACUAAUCGUCCUAAUAUCACGCAUCUCCCAUUUCUCAUCCUUCUUAAGAAUAAAAGCUACAUCCGUCCCUUCAAUGAAAGAAAGAGCACAUAGUUUUUUUUUCUAAUAAAGAAGAGAAGAGGAAGAAAGAGCACUCGAGUGGCGAAAGCUUUGUAAGAUGGCUGCGAUGGUCAUGGAAUCAUCAUCCUCAGUGGAACCUGACUCGAAAUAGCAAUCAUCCCUCUCCUCAGGCAAAGGUGAUGGAGGUGGGGGCGGCGGGGGAGGAGGAGGUGAGGGAGGAGCGAAGAAAGGAUAGUAGAAGUUGGUACGAGCUCGAGCUAGCCCACUGAAGGCUAUGGAGGAGAGGUCAUAGGCGAGCGCAGCCUCUUCUGCAGUGUCGAAUGUUCCGAGCCAGUGCCUCUCCUUGGUGUAAGGGUUCCGGAUCUCAGCGGCGUAGCGCCCCCAUGGCCUACGGCGGACCCCAAGGUACUCGGUGGAUGCUCGAGAACGCCGUCUGCGGUUGCGGUGAAGGAUCACUUGAGGGAGGUCUGCCAUGUCCAGUGGCUGUGAAGGAACUUAAAGUUGAUCACCAGGGAAUUAGAGUUGAAGGAUGGUGGAAGGUAGGGUUUCUCUCUAACUAAUAUAUAUAUAUAUAUAUAUGUAGGUGGAAGACUGGAAGAGGAAUUGGUUGGUAUUAUAAAAUCUGGCAUCCGAGUACUUUAGAGUAAAUUUCAUCAGAAGAAUGGGUAUUUGUAGCAUUUCCAAAGGUUAUAGGCUUUUCAUGAAGUGUUAGAUGUGGCUACUUUAGGUGGUUCGAGGUGUUUCUUAGUGAAAAUGUUGGAAUUAUGGUCUUGGCCCUUGGGUGGCACAGGUGGAUAGUGAUCUAGAAAGGUUGCAAGUUUUUUUUUUUCCUUCUUCUUCCUUCUUUGAAAAAGGCUGAGUUGGGCAGGUGAGGGUAUAGCCCACCAUGGGAUUAAGAAAUGGUGGUGGUGUUCGAAUUUGCUCCUCAAAUGGUUGGUCAUGGGUUAUCUUUUUCCCUUGUUUUCCUCGACAUGAUUAGACUGUGAUGGGCAUUUUCCGCAAAUCCCUGCUUACCAUGAAUCCAUGACACCUUGGGACUUGCCACCCCAUUCUCUCUCUCCCCCUCCCCCGAACACCAAAUGAUGACACACGUGUGCAGACUGAUACGAAUUAAGUAAGUGCACUUGAAUACGCUCGGCAUAAUGUACAUAUAGAGUUCAUGCAUGUGUGCAUGCAUGCCCAUGAAUAAGUACACUUAAUUAUAACUAAUUCCAUAUAUCUCUUUUCCCAAAAAGAUCAUAUAUAUUGCAUAAUUGGCAUGCAUCUCCUGUUGAAUAGGAGAGAAUUUCAUGGAAACCAAGGCAGCAUCAUCAAAUUAUUUCCUUUGAGAGAAUCCAUGCGCAUCGGUGACACAUCUUGAUUCCAGUUGACAUACAAAGUAACAAUUGUAGUUGGUUUAUCCUUUGGGAAAGGGAUCAUAUGCGCCCAUUUUAAUGUUUUUCCAGCAUUAAUUAGUAUAUUAAUUGAUAUUUCUCUACGCAUCUGAUGUUUAUUCGAAGUACGUAAACAUAACAAUCUUGUAUUUUUUUAUUAACCAUGUAUCAAAAUACUUUACAAUCUUAGCUAUCAUCCAUUAGGUACUCAAACAUGCAUCUCGUGUGUUAGAUUCUUUUUCAGACAAUGACCUCCUAAUUAUUAUUCGCUAGUUAGAAAAUGUUAUGCGAUAACGACGGCAGAUGAGAUAACACGCAUAAAGAAAGAAAAAGUUGGGGGUAUCAUUUCUUUGAAUGUUGUCAUUAAGUUUCGAAAACAUGGCAUGGUCUUCGUGAUUCUUAGUGAUUCACACCCUGAAUCACUCCCUGUAUAAAUGAUUUACUGUAACUAUAGCUUGCUCUUUUUUUUUAUGUUAAAAACAAUAAUUGAUCAAAGAAAUCUGAACUGUUUCAUAUGACCUCCUUGAGACCUUGUUGCAAGACAGUACUUCAGACAUAUUGCAAGACUCACAUUUUCCUGGAUUUGCUUAUACUCAGCAGCAAGCUAGCGCUAAUAUUCUUCGAUCAUGCAGUGAACUAUUGUGCUGCCCAACAGAUAUGGGUCGAGGGCAAUUCCUCCACAGUAACAGUUAACAAGUUGAAGCUUUCCUCUCCAUUGCAGGACAUUCGUGCAUGGAAGACAAGGGUGUCAGCCUUCAAGGCGACGAACAUAUGCUGUGAAGGAAAUCAAGUUGCUGAUUGGAUGGCCAUUUCAUCAUGAGAGCAGGCGAUCCUAUCCACCCUUUGCCCUAAGUUCUUCUAAAUGCAGAUGACGACUAUGGAAUCUAUAGUUGUAAUCCAGCUUUGCUCCGCUGAUGUACCGAAGAAAAUAUUCCUUGAUCCAUGGCAGGUGGCACCCAUACGAAAUACACAAGUUAGUAGCUUUACUGUCCAAACCAUAUAGGGGACUUGAACUCUCUAGUGAGAUUACAUGCAUGGGCCACCCAAUGGUCCACUACAUAUGCUUCAAAGUUCCAAAAAAAAGAGAGAAGACAUGCAUCAACUCCCAUGCGUUAUAGUUAAUGGAGCCUUUUUCUUAGUGAGAGCCCUAAGUCCAGCAAGUCCCAUGUCCCUCCUGUUUGAAACCUACUGGCUGUCAGAGUAUGGGGAAACUAUCUGCCAGAGUGGUGAUCCCAACGCUUGUUGUGUUGUUAGAGUUAUAGGGGGCCACCAACAACCACUAGAAUUUAGAACUCCUUUUGAGAAGUGGGGGGCACCCUUCCCUUUACCUGAGGAAGGAUGUUGUGAAGCUGGCCAAAGAGGUUUAUUUGCUGAGUUAAGCUCCGAUAAGAGCGCAUUACAAAGAAGACCACUCCAACGCAUAAGUUGUACUGAUAAAUGCUUUCAGGAUUAAUAUAUAGUCACCUUUACAAGGCCAUGGCAGCCCACUCUAAUUGCAUUUGGGAAAGGUAUCACUCACUAGGUUUUGUCGACACCUUAUCUUUUGUUCCUCUUGGGAUUUUUCUAGCAAAACUGUCAUUUUGUGCUGUCCGUUCCGACUUUGGGCAGUGGUUCUAGAGCCAUCAUUUUAAGAAUAUGAUCAAGAGAUGCACACGUUCAUCUCCAUUUGGCCAUCUGAUUGUGGCUAUGGAGAAUUGCUACCGAUAACUUUGAUAGUGCAGUCGUGCCCGGGUAUCAUUAAUUGGCUGGAUCGAUUAAUAUCGCCAAAGAUUAAAUCAAAUAGAGGUCAAUCCAUAAUGGGAUAUUAAGUUUUAGUGUAAUUGUCUGACAAAAGCCACAGCAUUAUUAUGACCGCUUUGUUCUUCUUAUUAGAUGAUGAUGAUAUCCGUUAUGAAAUCAUGCAUGAAGUGUGAAUAAUGAUUUUUGUUAUCUCGCAUCAAUUCUAUAGCUGUCAAGGUUUCAUAUAUCAGUAAAACACACGUCUAAUAAAAACCUGGCUUAUGCCUGAAUAAUCAUUGUUCUACCUAUCACAGCUAUUUUAGAUUGCAUUUAGAUUGGAAGAAGAUGGUAGAAAGAAACCAGGAUGAUUUUUUUCUUCUUUUUUUUGUUUUGAUAUGGUGCAUUAACGCACUCUGAUGUCUAGGAAAACCUUAGCUGAAAUCAGAUUGAAGCAGCAUGAGCUUGGAUAUAUGUGAAUCUUAGUUAGAAGUCGAGGUCACUGAAAGUGCUUUUUUCAACCAAAAAAAAAGUGAUUCCAGUAACCAUGAAUUCUUACUAGAAGUGCCUUUCAAUCCAAGUAAAUCAUGGAGAAGAUGGUUAUCGAUAUAAUUCUACCAAAUUAUGUCGAAGAGCUGCAAGGGUUUAUCAUCAGAACAAAAUUAAUUUAUUGUGAGGUUAGAUCUCAGUGCAAGAAAAAUAAUUGGUGAGGAUCAGGAGAGUCUCUCUCUCUCUUUAGCCUUUUCUCCUUCACAUAUCUGCAACUCCCCUCUUUCUCCCUUCCUCAAUAGCUUUCCCUCACCUCUCAGCAAUGCUGCUCUCUCUCCGGCCCCUUCCUCUUCUCUCUAUCCCAUGCACAAUCUCCUCCUCUCCACCCCCAGCCCCCUACAACAAGCUCUACCUUCCUUCGCAUGAAUCCACCAUUGGAUCAUAUACCAUACGAAUCUUAAAGUGCUCCAAACUCUAAUGUUCUUCUGUCUGCACUAAUCUCAAAGUGGCUGACGGAUGUAUCUUCGUUUUACUUUUAUUUAUACUUUAUUGUUGGAUCUUUAUUUAUUUUUAUGUUCAUUGUUUUUUGUUUUUCAACUCUAGGCUAUUUUUUAUAAAUUUUAUUUUAAGUUUUAAUUUUAUUAUUUAUUUUUUUAUAUUUUCUUGGUUCUUUUUUAUAUUAUUUACUAAUUGAUCCAUUUUUAUUCUCUUGUCAUGUAUAUUGAUAUUUCUUUCUUUUCUUAUAAAAUUUUAUUCUAAUUUAUUUUGUCAAUCAUACUUCUAUAUUUUCUUUCAUAUUUCCAAGUUAUCAUUUAUCCUCUAAGUAUAUCAAUUUUUCAUUUUUUUGAUUAUUAUAUCAAUUACUUGAUAUUUUUAAUUUAUGUUAUUGUAUUUCUAUUUAGCAUGAUUUUAUGUUUUUGAUUCAUUUAUGUUAUUCUUAAUUUUUGUUUUAUAUUCAUUUUUUAGUUCCACAUCUGAUUCUAUACUUUAUUUUCUAGUAUUUUGUUUAGUUUAUUUUUGUAAUUUCUGAAUUGUUUUAUUUUUUACUUUUCCUAUAUAGGUUUGUAUUCUUAUAAUUUUUAUUUUAAGUUUCUUUUAUAUUACUAUUUUCUUUUUUGGUUCAACUCAUUUUGUCAUACUUAUUUUGUUUACAUUCUUUGGUAUAUUUUGCAUGCGAUCCAUUUCUCCUCUUGUUUUAUAUUUUAUAUUUUAUGUUAUAUAUUUUAUUUUUGUUCUAGUUUAUUUUCUUUAACCUUGUAUCCAUAUUUGAUUUCAUAUUUUUAUUAUUUUUUUGUUAUUAAUACAUUUAUUUCAACUAAAAAUGAACUAUAAUUUAUAUAUUUUUAAUUAUCAUAUAUUUUUAUUGAAAGAACAUUGCACACGUCUAUUUGGUAGUUUGUCUGCAGCCUUUUAAAAUCCAUGCCUCAUGCCUAUGAUAGAAAAGAUUUAUUUUUCACAUUCUUGCAUAAAUCCAUCAAUUAUAUACUAUCUCUCUUUCUCUUUCUUCCCACCCAUAUUUAUGGAUUGAUCUAAUGUUUUUUUCUUCAUUCGACAUCACAUUCCUUUGAAACAUCUGCUGCACAUGUCAAAUGCUAAUUUAGCAUAAAUUUUAAUAUUAGAUGCUAGCACAACAUAGCUAUUAUUUAGUAUGAUUGCCUGUUAAAAGCUUGGCAUUCUAUUAACCUUAACAAUUGAUGCACUAUCUAUGGAUUUUUAUAAAAGAUUAAAUUAAUCUCAGUAGCCUAAAGCAUGGUACAAUCUAAACUCAAAAAACAAUGGAUUCUUAAUGCACCUAGAAUCCCAAGAUUCAUAGGCUGGUUUAAGUAAACAAAGGCAAUUGACCGUGAUUCUAGCUAUUUAAGGUUGAGUUCGUUAAUCAUUUUACAUAUUGUUUUUUAACAUCUAUUCACAUGCAUACCUUCGACAAGAAUAUGUGCUUGUGAAAGUUGUUUUUUCAUUUAGAAUAUUAGGUGGCAUGUCAUCAAUUUGCACAAGAAUAAAAUUGCAUAUGCUUGUACCAUAUUUGCCAUUCUCUAGUUUUUAGUUGUCAUUUUUGCAACUUGUACAUGUAAUUUGUUGACUUAGUUAAAACAUCUGUUUAUAAUUUACUAAAUAUCUAUCUUAACAUUGUCAUCUUGUAGCACUUGUCUUAUGUGUAUAUUGAUUCAAAUUUCAAGAGUUACUGUAAUGACAUCAAUGCUCAAUCUGUGAACCCAUCUAUUGGACCUUAUCAUGUUUAGCCAUGAUCUAUCCUCUCAUAAUGAGCAAGAUAUCCAUAGAAUAUGGAUAUUUACCCCUAUAAAUUAUCUAUGCUAACCAAGUGUCCUCUAUUGAUCAACAUGAUUAUCACUCAGGAAAUUGAGUCGGUUCCAUGACUUUCCUUAGAUUUGUAGCAUUCGAAAAAAAACAAAAUAUUUGGCUCAAUAAAGUUUAAUUCUCAAUACGCCAUUGUAAAGUUCUUAUAAAAAAAUAUGCUUAUGAGAUAUUUUAGAAGACACAAAUAUGAAACAUCAUUGAUAAAUGAUAGCAUAAAAAGUUCUUACCAACUAUCUCAUUAAAAAGUUUAUAGCUUUGCAUUUUCAUGUGACCCAUACUUUGUUGCCAAUUGUUAGCUCAAUUGGUUGCACCUCUCAGUUAAGAACUCGUCUCUCCAGGAGGUCAAGGUUCAAAACUAUAGCAUUAUUCAUAUAUAGUCACACUACUUGUAAACAUGAUCUAGUUUUUAGAUUUUUCUCUGAAAAAUAGUAAUUAAAAAUUAUCCCCGAAUUAUUAUUUUCUUAGCAAAAGCAGAAUUUAUUGAAAAUAUGUUGUGUAUUGCAUUUUAAAAGGGGUAUAAGUGAAAUAUUAGAUUCAAUACACAUGAUAUAUAAGGAUUCUAAGUAAAGAGGCAAUGUAGUGGACCAUAGCAUUAUAAAAACACACAAAUUUAAUAGUCAAGAUUAGAUAAGGUUAUCACAUCCGACAUAAUAGUGGCAAUAAAAUCUUCUUUUCACAUGUUUGGCUACUAGCACCCCAGUUUCAUCUGUUCCAACUUCCUCGUCUAGAUACCUAAAUAAUCUACAAUUGUGCAUUUAUAAGUUAUAACCGAGCUAAAUGUAUUUCUUUUAAAAAAACUGAGUUUAAUGUACCCAAGCAUGUAUUUAAGGCAACAGCCAUCUAUGCAACCAAGAUUUGAUUUAUGCAGGAUAUCCAUUAUAAUGGCCCUGCACCUUAGCUUAUAUUAGGACCAUUUACAAAAAAACCGGACCGAUUCGGCCGGUCCAUUCUGUUCAACUUGAUCCCGGUCCGCAGAACCUUCAAGAUCCAUUGAGGUUUCCCACCUACAUUUAUCGGCGUGCCGACCCACUGCUUCAAAUUUCCUAAAAGAGCCACGUGGCUGGUCGCCCUCGAAGCCCUUCCCAUCCCCCCCAGCAGAUCAGACGACCAAAAUCACAUCACAAAAUAUCGGACGGCUGGGCUUUCAAUCAAUCCGAUCCCUAAACCCUCCCUCACGCCCGUUUGUCCUAUCAAUUGGACAUCAUAAAUUGGCUCUCCAUUCUCUCUCCUCUUCAAAUUUGGAUUGCGACCGCGUUCUCUCUACGCACAGAUCUCUCUCUCUCUCUCUCUCUCUCUAUAUAUAUAUAUAUAUUAUACUCUCUCUCUCUGUCUCUCGAUCCUUCGCUUGCUUCUCUGCACCCCUAAACCCAAUCUAAGUCCUGAUUCUUUUGUUCGGCGAUGAGGAGGAAGAGGAAGGCGGCGGCGGCUAAGGCUGAGACGGCUGCGGUGGAGGCGAAGAGGGAAGAAGAGGGCGGCAGCGGCGGCGGCGGCAGCAAGUCGUCGAACGAGCUCCCCAAGGAGUCCAAGGCCUCCACCAGAGGGAAGCGGAUCAAGGCCCCCAAGACGGAGCCUGAGUUCUUCCCCGAGAAGAGGAAUCUGGUGAGGGUCCUUCUUGAGGCCUAUUUUUUCUGUCGUCUGUUUCUUGUUUUCGUGCGACUUUGGGGAAUUUGUUGGGUUCUUAAGGGGGCGAUCGUUGGAAAUUUGUUGGAUUUGGUGUUGAUUGGCUCUGUGGUGUGGAUUAUUUGGGAUUCGUUCAUGUGGAUGCGGGCGUUAUUCUGUUGGAUUUUGUUCAAAUUGCAUUUCUAUUGUGGGAUGUAUGUGUUGACAACUGCAUCAUUGCUGAGGCCACACACUUUAUUUCAAUAUCUACUUCUCGGAUUCUUCUACUUUGACGCUAAAUUUCUUAUUUUUGUCUUAUGACCUAAAUUUCUCUCUAGAUGGUGUUAUUUCAUGUAUUUUUCGCAAAUUGUUUCAGCAUUUUAUGCUUGCUUUUGUUGGGCUUUCUUGGGCUAAAUAGUUGCUAUUGUUGUGCAGGAGGAUUUAUGGCAAGCUGCCUUUCCUGUUGGAACGGAGGUCUGUUUCAAAAUCAAACUUUUAUUAUAUAUCAUAAGACAACUUAUGGAAGCUGCUGUGUAAAUAGGCGCCAAGUACCAUGCUUGAUAAUAUUUGUUCUCUUUUGUUACCCUGAGUUGUUGUGAACCUUGGUACGUUUGUUGAUGACAGUGGGAAAACAUGGACAAAAUUCGCGAGAUCAACUGGAAUUUUUCAAAUUUGGAGGUAUGAUUAAAGGAUUUCCUUUUUUUAGUUUUGAUUUUUUUUUUCUGUUCACUGUUCUUAAUUCUAUUUUGUGAUGAACAGAAAGCUUUUGAGGAGGGAGGAGAACUUUGUGGAAAGAAGGUCUACCUGUUCGGAUGCACUGAACGUAAGCUGUUUGUCUAGCUUGUGUCCUGUACAUUCACCUUAUUCAACUUCAUGCUUCUUAAAAUUACUAGUGACUGGAUGCUACAUUGUUAUCAAUAUGUAACCAUAGACUUUGAAUUUAUGUUAGUUGCAUAAUAUAAUCUUCAACCAUGACUGUGUGUAAACUUACCCUCUUCAUUUUUCAUGUGGUCUUGGAACUGCGCUCUGCAUUUAACUUGUGGUCUUGGAAUCUGUGCUCUGCAUUUAAUUUGUGCUUAUGAGCAUGAAGAUUUUGAGCUUGCAUUUGUAUGCAAAAACUCCUCUGUUGUGCUUCCUUCCCUUUUUCCCUUUUUUCUUUUUUUUAGAGUUUUCAGUAUAGUGAAUAUUGUAUUUAGCAUAUUUAUGCUUAAUUGCUUGUCAAGCUUAUUUAAGAUCACUGUCUAUAUUAAUAUAAUUUAUUUAACCCUUUUUCCUUCUUGCAGCUCAGCUGUUGGAUGUAAAGAAUGAACAGAAAAUUGUACUUAUCCCCAUUGUGGUAGCUGUAAGUAAUUCAUAUUCUAUUUUCUCACACAUGAACUUAAUUUUUUGAACUUUCUUUUGGUUAGACUUUGGUGUAUUCUGUUGCUAGUGAAGCACAUGGCCAAAUAUAUGAUCUGAAUCAUGAUGAUCCAUCCAUCUAACUAAUAUAUAGGGAGGUGAGAGAGGUUACAUGUGAAACAUACAUGUGUUCUUUGUGGGCCGUGCAGAUUUUUUGAUUGAUAGUAAAUACAGUUGUAAGUGAUGUAAGUAAUGCAUGUUGCAAUCAUCAAGUGCUUUAUCUUCAUGUGGGACCACAACAUAUGCAAAUUUAAAACAUUGGUUGGCCUGAUAUCAAAUGUGUAGGCUGCGAAUUCUAUUCAUUUGUAUUUUCUCAGUCCAAGUUGUUUCAAAACAUGCUUAUCUGAAGAUAUUGAGUCUAGAGCCUGCUCUAAAGUAAUGUGGUUAUGGCAUGGGUCUGCAAAACAACUGCAUGCCACAGAGGGGCCUGGGAAGUGCUUGGCCUGGCAGUUGUCAUGUCAAAGAAGAGAUAAAGGAGGCUAGCUCGCAUAUGAGUUGAUAUGGUUUUCAAAGUAUGGUUUUAUCAUGACAUGAGGGAGAUUGAGAGAGCAGGGUUCGCAAGCAGCUGAAGAUAACUGAUGAGGAUUUGUAAGACGGGUUUUGUUAAGGUGGCUUUGUAGAGACAUCACCGUGCAGAUGAAGCCUCCCGCAUUAGUAUUAUUUGAAUAAGGAUAUUUAUUUUAGGGACUAAUAUAUUAAAUUAGAUGUGCAUCCACAAUAAUUUCCUUUAAGUAUUCUAAUUAUACGGUAUUUGUAUACAUAUGAAUGAAUGUAUAUGAGAAUCAUGGACUAGUACAAUUUCAGUGUUGCCUAACUUAUGGAUUUUAUCUCUGUCCUUUCUGAACAUCCAAUAUAGCAUCAUAUGUGUUUCGAGAUAUUGUGGAACAUGACAUCUCAUGUUAUUCUGUCUCUAAUAAAUAACAUGUGAUGCAAUUUUUUACAGUGUGUGCUGGUACAGAGCUGCUAUUUUAUGUUUUAAACAAAUUUCAGUUUAUCACAUCAAAACAUUUUAAGGAUUGUUUGUUCAUAUGAAUGGUGCAGUUAUGAUUGUUGAUUGGCUUGUUCAUUCCUUCUUAUUAAGGUAAUCUUGAGCAGGUGAUUUCUCCUAUUCCACCAUCAGAUAAGAUUGGUAUAAAAUCUGUUCAAAGGGAGACGGAAGAAAUAAUACCAAUGAAGGCAAUGAAAAUGGCAUGGGUUCCAUACAUUCCCCUAGAAGACCGGUACCUUCUGUUCAUGCUUCAUAUUUACGAUCUUGAAACUUCAAAUAGGAUUAUACAGAAUUCUCUAUGGAAGAUUGUGUUGCUUAAUUUAGCUUUUCUCUUCUUUCACAGGCAUAGUCAGGUUGAUAGAUUGAAGACUCAAAUAUUUACCUUGGCCUGCACCCAAAGAAGGUACAACUACAUGUAUUUUUAGGUUUUCAUUUUUAUAUGGCUUUUGUUGCACAAUAUUUUCCUUUCAUGGUAUAAUUAAAUGAGAUUAUCCCAUGUUUCUGUACCAUGUAAAUUAUGUUUCUGUUUUUUAUAAUCAUUUAAUAUUUAUUUCUUCAAGUGAUGAAUGCCAAAUAACAAAGCAGUAGUCUUUGGUGCUCUUGCUAACCUCCUUGGAUCUAGGCAUCUUGCUAACAAGGGUUCAUGUCAGGAAAUUAAUAUCCAACAUAUUGACGGUUUAAAGCGUUUAAAAGCUAACAUCAACGUAGUUCUUGUAGUGGCCUAUGGAUAACUUUUUGUUAAUAUACAUGCUUCAUUUGUAGUGGCAUAUGGAUUUAUUGACAUACAACCAUAUUACUACUUUUUUAGUACAAAUGUGUCGCUAUUGCUUCUUAUUCUAUGUCAAACAAUUGCAUGCAUGCAUUUAAAUGCACUAACACCCUUGGACUCGAUUUUGUACCUUGUUUGGUGAUACAUAUACCAACAAUAGUGGUUAUUUCAGAAUUAUAUAAGAGAAUAUUGCUCUUUUAUGCUAACUGUAUGAUAAAUUAUAGAUGUCAAAAGUUGUUACCUAUCAACUUGAAUCUUAACUUUUUACUUAAAAAUAUUUUGAUCCAAUUCAGUUCAAGUUCUAAAAAAAAUUGAAACUUCUAUAUUGCUGCAUUAGAAGUAAACUUGUGCAUACAACUAAGAAAUCUGUAAGCAUGCAGGGCUUAUGUGACAUCUCUUAUACAUUUCUGCUUUUAUUUUGAUGGUGCUUUGCUGCAGUUCAGGUUGUCACUACAUAUUACUUGAUGGUUCUAGAUUUUGAUUGAUUGAAUUCUUCCCCUAUAUAGUUUUCUCUUUCCUAUUAUGCAUCAAACUGAAGUAGUUUAUACUUUUAGUUGCACAUGCAUUAUCAGUUUUUCUUGCCUUUUCUUUCAUUCCCUUACAUUCUUUGCCUGUCAGCUAUUCCAUUAAGAUGUUACUUCCCCUGCAUUUGUAGCUGUUUAUCAUAGAUGUACUAUUAUUUAUUACAAAUACUUGCUUGUGUGAUUCAGCUGUUGCAUUGGACAACAAUCCUCUUAAGUAUGCCAGAUCAUGUGUUUUUAUUUUCUUCCUUUGAUAUUGAUGCCUUUAUAAUGGGAUUCUGAAACCUUGUGUCCAUUAUCAGUCAGAUGGAAUUUAGUUACUUGUGGCUCAUCAGUUAGGAGAGCUAUUUAAAAUGUUCAUUUGAAUAUAUGCGUUUCAGUUCUAUGUAUGCCUGAUUGGAUGUGGACAUAUUGAGUGCUUGUGUAGUUAAAAAGUUCUUUGAUUUAUUUUUUUCAUAUUGGUUAUUUUCUUUUAUGUCUUUGGAGUUGUAGCCUGCCUGCAUUUUAUUCAACAUUUUUCUUCUGAGAGCUUAAUGUAUGUAUGAAUUAUGAAAUUAUGGUAUAAUGUUGCACGAGGAAGCAAGGAUGGUUUGAUUGGCAUUAGAAAAAUUUAGAUCUUUGUGAUUCUUGUUACAGCGGGACACUAAAUACCUCAUGUAUCUCUGUUUGAUAUUUUUUCUUUUCUUUUUGUUUUUUAAUGUUAAAAUUUUGCUGGAGGAAACAAACUUUUUUUUGUCACUUCUCUACUGUAGAUGUUUUGAUCUUAUAAAACGAUAUCACAUCUUAAAUUAUGAUUAUAUAAAUUGGAUAUUCUCAUGCAGAUCUGCUUUAAAACAUCUGAAAAUCGAGCGCGUCAAACAAUAUGACUAUUGCCUUCCUUGUGAGUUUUAUUGACCUUUUAUUUUUUUCCUAUUUUGUGCAAAGAGUUGUUGCAGCCCAUUUCAAAUUUAUACAUUGAUUAAUUUAUUUUGCAAUAAUUUUCUUUGCCCCAACAUCUUUUUUAGUAGAUGUAUGUGAUAUGUGAUUGGAGCUUUUGUUCCCUGAUGUUGAAUGCAAGAAAGUUGUGUUGAAUAUAAAAGUAUCCCCACAGUUUUUUUUUCAUGGGUCUUGUUUCAUCAAGAUCAACCAUAAAUGAGUUUUCUGAAACCAUUUCUCAUAGUUAUAUAUCUCACUGUCCAAAAUAUCUGUUUGUCUUUGAGGUGGAAAUUUGCUGGUUGAUGAAAUGUCAUGCAAGGAUCGGACUGCCAUACAUGCAAAGGAGCUGAAUGUUGAAGUUGAUCAUGAAUUUAUAACGUGUUGAAGCAUGUAGGCUAUGAUUUCUUGCUCAAUUAUUCAAUUUAAAUUCUAAUAGAUGGUGGAAAAUUAGAUAAGCCAUAUAUUUGAAAGGAGAAUUUACUAACUAAUACUCUUUAAAUAUCUGAAGACAAACUUAAAAGUAAGGUCAUGUUCAGGUAGCUGUAAUUAAAUAUGAUGCCGAUUUUAAGUGUCGCCUUUUUUUAUGGAAAGGGUUUCCUAUAUACAACUUCAAGACCGUAGUAUAACAUUUUGAGAAUUUAACGAAAAUGGCCAAUGCUAAAUUGAUUAAGAAAAUACAUAUGGCUACAUGUAUACUAGAAUCAUUGAUGAAGUGUAGUGUUAUUUAAGAAUAAUGGAAACAUCUUAAGAAGAUAUCAUUUCAUUGGACUUUAUACAUGCCCAAGAGUUAUAUUUGCGCUUUUUGUUAAGUUGUUGAAAACUGAGCCAAGUGAUUGAGAUUUUUGUUUGUAGAUUGUCUAAUAUUAUAACUAAACCUACAUAUAUCAUAAUGUCAUCUAAGGACAUUGGUCAACGGCAAACAAUUGAAGUUUGAGCCAAUCCUUUGACUGGCUAUGGUGGAACCUGUGAUAACUUAAACCAAGGCUUCAAAAGCGACCUAGUGUUCUGUUAAAAAAUUCUGAAUUGGGCAUUUCAGUUAGUUAUUCUUGGCCAGUCUUGUUUAAGGAAUACAACAUAUAUGCACUAAGAAUCUUCCUUUAAGAACUUCCAGGGCCAUGAAUGACUUCUUUGGAACAGAGCCAGGUAGAGGAUACGGAUAGGAGGGGAGCGAAAUGGGGGUAGAGGUUGGGGUAGGGAUAGAGUGGGGUGAAACAGUAUUAGCUAGGGGCUGGGUGUUAGGGGUAAAAGGUGAGGUAGGUAGACUGGUUAGACAGGCAAGGUUGGGAAUGAGGUCAAGGAGAGAGGGCAAGUGGGUGAGAAGGAUGGAUCAUGAUGGAGGAACUUGGAUGGAGGACCUAGGGUUAGUGCUGGUGAGUCUCUUGCUCUACGCAUCUUACAAUAAGCUGGUUGAUGGUCAACUCAGCAUGACCAUUUUUGAGUUGUCCAAACACAAAAUAACAAUUUGACAUCUAGUUUAAUUUUGAUUUUAUUUGUGACAAGUUAAAUAGGAGUCUGAAGAAUUACAUAAUGACUGGAAGUCUACUUUCCUCUAGUGUCAAAAUACUUUGUAAGAAUCUUUGUCUAAUUAGAUGAAAAUCCAAACUUUUUUCUUUUCUUAUCUUGUGCUUUUAUUGUAAAAUCAAAUGGUUUUCAUACACAAACCUAUAUCACUAUAUAUAUAUAUAUAUAUAUAUAUAUAUAUAUUUUGUAUUCUAGAUCCUGUAUAUUAAUAUCAACUUCAUAGUCGCUAUUAUGCAAUCUAUACACACUCCCAAAUUUCUACUAAUUUGUAGUUAUAGCCUAGAUAUCAAUACCCAAUUCUUAAUCUUGUACCAUUUCAUAUUAAUCAUCCUAUCUGGUCAUUAUGUGUGAUACUUUAUAUUCUAUAUUCUAUUAUUAGCUAUAUAAAAAUAAUGAUACUUUAUUCACACCUAUGUAUAUCAAGAUUUUGUCAUGUUGAGUUUUGUUUGUUCUAGUAAAUUCACUGUCAUAGAUAUAUGUGUUUCUUUGUCUCUCUGCACUCUUUAUAGGCCAUUCAACUAGAGCUUGAAUUGCCUUCAUCAUCUAGGUCUUUGGUAGUGAAUUCUAGUUUUUUUAAUCCCCGAACCAAAGUUAUGACUAUAGCGCUAACUUAUGCUACUUGAAAACUCCAAUUUGCUAUUUUCCUUCUCCCAACUAUCCAUUCUAUGCUAUACUUCUGCAGCCACAUCCUAAAUUUUUCCUAUACAUGUGUGUAUGCAAUAUUUAUUUGUCAAAACAUUAUCCAGCUGUGCGACUUACAUUGCAAUUGUAUCUCCAUAAUGCUCAAAGUCAUGUAACAUUUCAAUAGUGCAUUUUAGUUCUGUCCAUCCUACUCUGGUUGAAAUAGUAAAAGUGUCUUUAAUUUUCUUAUCUUUUUCUUGUUAAUUUAACAUUGUGAUGAAAUUAAGUGUUCUUAGCUUUCUAUACUAUCAAUUUGAACUAUAAUGCUAUCUUGUUGAAUCUUUAUACUGAGGUUUUCGUCUUGAUAUUGGUUUGUAUCAAUAUAGGGCACCCAUGAAUAUGACCCAUGAAUAUGAUAUAUGUAAAAACUGAGGUCUUACUAUGUUGGCUGAUACAAAAUAAUAUAAUUCAAAAUACCAACCUAUGCAAUAUCUUAUAUUAUCUGAUAUUUUCGUAACUCUUACUAUCUUAGCUAAAUAAAUAUCAGAAUCAAAGAGCCCGGAAACAAUUGUCAAUCUUAAUAUUGUGAUAUUGGCCAAUUAGCUUAGUUCCUAUUAUCAGUUAAGAUUUCCAAUACGUCUUUUGCACCCAUAAUCUCCCUGGCUUCCAUCUCAGCAUAGAUAAACCAAGGUCUUGGCUCAUCCUAGUAUUGGUUACAAAGAUGGCCUAUAACCGAUGAUUUGAAAGACCUUGCUUUCAUCACCCUGCCAUAAAAAGAGUUGCUUUCCACCAAAUUUGCGUACUGUAUGUGAGUUGAUUUUUCCAUAUGCUUAUCCUGGACUGUCAUUUCUCUUUAGCUCCGGUCCUGUCUUAGAUUUACCGUGUCAUGUUGGCCCAAUGUGUCAAUGGUUUAUCAUUACAAUUUGUCUGGCUUGCUCCUAGUCUCAUUUCAUGUCCUAACAAGUAGGUCAGGAUUGUUGGUUACUAGGUCCCAAACUUUUUAUCUAGUUGGAGCAAGAAGCCAUGGCCAAAUUAAAAGCUAUUUGACCUGCAUUUGUAGGUUAGAUAAGUUCAAAUGUUUAGAUUUGGUAGAUAGUCAUCAUAUAAAGAGGCUCAUUGUAUGAAAUUAGUCCUAAACCAAUCUUAAUAAACCAUAUUGAUAAUUUUAUGGAGCCAUUGAUGGGGUCAUUAGGUUGUUUGCUGUAAUAAGUAGUAAUUUGCUUUUGUUAACUACAUUCUUUUGAUUGCUUAUGUUAAUUUAGCUUAUGUUGAUUUAAAGCUUGUAAAUUGCCACCUGGGUUGUCAUGCAUACUCACGGUGCUUGCCUUGUUUUCUGACAGCAUUAUCAGGUUUCAUUGUCAUUAUUUAUUCUACAUCUGCAUGCUACAGUGAACAAAUAUUCGGGCUAUUCAUUAGUCCUAAACACAUUUGAAGCCUUGAGUUGCAAUGUUUCUCUUUCUUUAGUCCAUGGUGUUGAAUGGAAAAGAAUCCUAAGAUUUGUUUAGUGAAUUACUUCAAGUGGAGAGCUUGUUGAUCACUGCUUAGUGCUUACUCGUAUUUAAUCUACUUAAGAA